Molecule: long non-coding RNA, 1693 nt
Organism: Monodelphis domestica (gray short-tailed opossum)
Lineage: Eukaryota; Metazoa; Chordata; Mammalia; Didelphimorphia; Didelphidae
Source: Ensembl
AUGGUGAUUCUUUGCCUUAGGUGAAAUUCUUUGGAACACUGAGUCAGAGUCACUUCCAUAUCCAUAGGAACAGAAUCCCAGGAAGAAGCCCUGCAGAUGUCUGUUCGAGAGAAAAAGAAGAAUGGAGAGCGAGGGAAUUUAUUGCAGAGGAGUGAUAACAAAAUGGUUAUUUUCUACACUAUCCCUGGAUCAGUACAAGGUUGGAAUGGUCAUUCUCUCCUGGGAUGUGGGGAUGCAGAUUGGCAGAGGAAACAAGCUAUGCCUGAGAUAUGUCUCCCUUUCAAAAAGGACCUCAUGAAAUAAAUGAAGAAGAAGAACCAUGAUUGUUUUAAAAAAACUUUCCUUCUGCAACAAAUAUCAUCAAAAUCCAAUGGCAAACUAAAAGUCAGGACAACUGGUAAUGGCCUGAGUUGUAUGAUCCUGGCAUCUUCAAUGUCUGACCAAGCUCUUUCAUGCUCCAUGGUAUGUGCUUCAGCCAUUGGAAUAAAUUGUUCUCAUCCACCCCUUCUACAGUGGAAGUCCUCACAUGCUUUGUGCAGACACCCCACUAACUCACGGAUGGUUUUGAGGCUUGUCAGAUACCCUCAACCUGGUUUACUAGGACGUGGCCACUGAGCACGGUACAGCUUCUUGGAGGCACAGGUAAGAGUUGGAUGGCAGGUGCACACCAAAAGAGGAACGCAACCUGAAAAGGGCUCAGCAAGCCCUCACACCAGAGGUACUAAUCUUCCCUGAACACUCCGUACGCCCAACGAGGAGGGCAUCUUGUGUUAGAAGAUGCUGUUGCUGCCGCCUGUUGAGAACUGAAUAUGGGACCGAUGCCAAGUCAUUUCUGCCUACUUGCAGUUCUUCACAAGGGUGAAAAUGGUUAGUUAAAAUUGGCAGUACUUUGACGAGGGCCAUCUGAGAAUUCUGAGGGUCUCAAAGACCUACCUACCCAAGGGAAGCUGGCUAUUUACACUUUCCCAAAUGUAGUGGAAGUCUGAGGACUUCAUUUCCUUCAAAUCAUGCCAGUGUGACUUCACACUCUCUUUUUGCUAAUGUAGAUUGACUGAGGUGUGAACCUCACUGUUUAUUGAAAGACAUGAAAUAUUCUCUAGGUUUUUAAAAUGCGGUGGUUAUUCAUGAAUUAGAAAGGCUAGUGAAUAGAAGAAAAGACACGGAGGAAGAAAGCAUUAUUAGAUGCCUACUAUGUAUCAGACUGUGGUUAAGUGCUUUACAAAUAUUAUUUCAUUUAACCUCAUAACAACCCUGGCAAAGAAGUGCUAUAAUUAUCUCUAUCUUAGAGUUGAGGAAACUGAGGCAGACUGAGGUAAAGUGAUUUGCCCAGAGUCACACAGCUAAUAAGUGUCUGAAAUCAUAUUUGAACUCAGGUCUUCCUGACUCUAGGCCUGGCACUCUCUCUCUGACGUACACAGAAAAUUAAGUGUUCUAGAAAGAGUUGAGCAUUGCUGUGACUAAUCCCCAGAAUUCUAUAAGUAAUAGUCUUAACACAUGGAAGAAAAAGCACGAGGAUUCUUCUGUGCUGGGGUUCUCAGAGCCAUAUCAUCAAAAGCAGUGACUAAUCCCUUUGGUUUCUCCUGGCAAAUGGCACACAUAGUAUUAAAAGUAUUUGUUUUGGCUAGUUAGCAAGAAGACACAAUUAGUUCAAAGCAAAAGUAUUUAAUAAAAUGGCACAGCAAGAAAAGUAGCA